UACGUAGGGGGCAAACGUUGUCCGGAAUCAUUGGGCGUAAAGCGCGUGUAGGCGGUCCGGUAAGUCCGCUGUGAAAGUCGGGGGCUCAACCCUCGGAUGCCGGUGGAUACUGUCGGGCUUGAGUACGGAAGAGGCGAGUGGAAUUCCUGGUGUAGCGGUGAAAUGCGCAGAUAUCAGGAGGAACACCAAUUGCGAAGGCAGCUCGCUGGGACGUUACUGACGCUGAGACGCGAAAGCGUGGGGAGCAAACAGG
Molecule: ribosomal RNA, 253 nt
Filed under: uncultured bacterium
Lineage: Bacteria
Description: partial 16S ribosomal RNA
Rfam family: Bacterial small subunit ribosomal RNA
Source: RNAcentral